Homarus americanus (American lobster) is the source of this 1172-nucleotide long non-coding RNA. RefSeq lists it as uncharacterized. The transcript is spliced from 2 exons. The record is from RefSeq and is a predicted model, not a curated record. Lineage: Eukaryota; Metazoa; Arthropoda; Malacostraca; Decapoda; Nephropidae.
UCCUUCUUCCUUCCUUCCUUCCUUCCUUCCUUCCUUCCUUCCUUCCUUCCUUCCUUCCUUCUGGCUGCACCACUGGAUGAGUUAUAUUAACAUACCAAUAUAUAUUAUAUGCAAUUCUCAAUUUACAAAGUCUUAACUCUGACUCUGUUACCUGUUAGCACUUAAUAUAGAGAUAUAUAAAACAGCUCCCUAACCAUACUCAGCUUAACCCCGAUGGAAAUGUAGCUCCUGUUAUGCAUGUUCUUCACUCCUUUAAUGACCUGUUCUAAAUCAGCUUUAAAGCAUAUCAGAUUUAGUGUUGUAUUGCUCAAACUAAUGGCGUUGCUCUCUGUUACCAGCUUGUGCCGUUCAGCAGUAUGAUUCUUUCUAUGGUGUAAGCAACUUUGGUGUAAACUCGCUCCAAAAAGUAUCUUUACGGAAGGUCAGAUGAAUUUUAAAUUGUUGUCUCGGUAGGGUUGUCAAAAUCCUUCGUCCGUUGUGUCAUAUUGUCUCACACGAAAUAGUAAAGAUACUUUUUUGGAUUGAGUAUACAGUAGUACUAUUCAGAGUCAUAUUCUAGGUCAUACUUUAACACUACUGCACUGGUGGUAACUGGAGGGCAAUCUCUUUUAAACUAUAUAACCUUGUUACCUGAGUAUUUACUGUACUCCCCUUAUUCCAUCAGGGAUCACCAGCAUCACGUGUUCUUCUUGCAGAUUACAGCACAACGAGUCAGUAUUAGAGUUAAGCUUAGUCUUAGCCAUAUCCCUGUUGAGCCUCACACCUGGUCAUGUAUCAGUAGCGGUGCCAUAGUGUUUUUAUUAUUAUUUAGACAUUUUCAAUUUACUUUUCUUGAUGAUGAGGUUUAACAUUGUGACAAAGGUUUAACAUUGUGACAAAGGUUUAACAUUGUGACAAAGGUUUAACAUUGUGACAAAGGUUUAACAUUGUGACAACAGAAAGAACACACUAUGCCUUAAGUUGGAUGUACUGUACAGUGUGUUUUGAGUUAAUAAGUUAACAGAUUUCAAGUAUGAAUUGUGUACCAUUGGGUUAGGGGUUACUGUACUUCUCACAAAAAUGCCACUUUGAUCCCAUUUUUAGUUGUCAUUUGGACAUUUGAUCCUUAAUAAAAAGCCCAUUUUUGGUGUCGAUGAAGCCCCUACAAAUUAAAAUACAGGUAUAUACCAUUA